UAACAUGUUUGGAAAGAUGGUAUGAUACAGAAUUGUUUAAUAAUCUUUUCUUGUUUGGUUAGAUGGUAUGGUAUGGUAUAAUAAAUAUGAAGAUUACUAAAAUACCCUUAUUGCUAUUUUAAAUAUAUAAAGAGUUGUUUUAAACUUUACUUGCACUAUUUGAAAAACGAUAAAUUUUUCCUAGAACCAAAGAGUUCAGUAUUGAUUACCCAAUUGACAAAAUAGACGAAAUAACCUAGGUAUACAAAAUGAAAUCACUCACUAACAAACAAGAAAAUAAAUUCAAGAGCCAGGUAAUAAAAGAACCAGAAAACAAACCCAACAAUCAAAUAGAAGCAUCACAUUUGUGAUGAGUUUGGACUAUACCCAUACCCAAAAUUGGUGGCUAGAGCAAGAGUAGAGAGGGGUAUUGAAGUCUAAUUGCAGACUUACCAAAGCUUGAGAAGGGGCUGUGGAGGACCUGUGAUGUGAGAGAUUAUGUUGGAUUGACGUAUGUGAGAGACUAAAGAUUUUUUAUCAAAAGGAGAGACUGAAGAUGAGGGAUAAUGAACGUUUAUAAAUAAGCAAAAUAUGAUAUAAUUGGAAUUUUAUAAAUUAUGUAAGUAUAAAAUUAGAAUACAAAAAUUUUAAAUCAUUUAAAAACACUGAUUUGAUGGUUUAAAAAUAUGUGGUAAAAUCAUGGUUAAAGAACCAUCACUUUACAACUCAACAUCACCGUUCUUUAGUAACAAGCUUCAUAAACAAGUAGCAUCACCAUAUCAUACUUUAGGAAACCAUAGAAAACCAUUAUUCACACAAGAGGUUAGACUUUGUGGCAUCCAUUGAAUCAUUCAGCAACAUAAUGUAUAAAACUAGAUUUUAGUGCAUGAUAUUGUUCAAGUGUGCACUACUUAAAAGUAUUGUAGUUUGUCUACUUUAUAUUGCAGGAGUAUUUACUUCUCUUUAGCAA
RNAcentral lists this unclassified non-coding RNA (949 nucleotides) under Hevea brasiliensis (rubber tree). The record is from RNAcentral. Lineage: Eukaryota; Viridiplantae; Streptophyta; Magnoliopsida; Malpighiales; Euphorbiaceae.